Molecule: ribosomal RNA, 580 nt
Filed under: uncultured beta proteobacterium
Lineage: Bacteria; Pseudomonadati; Pseudomonadota; Betaproteobacteria
Description: bacterial SSU rRNA
Rfam family: Bacterial small subunit ribosomal RNA
Source: RNAcentral
GUAGUCCACGCCCUAAACGAUGUCAACUAGUUGUUGGUAGAGUAAAAUCUAUGAGUAACGCAGCUAACGCGUGAAGUUGACCGCCUGGGGAGUACGAUCGCAAGAUUAAAACUCAAAUGAAUUGACGGGGGCCCGCACAAGCGGUGGAUUAUGUGGAUUAAUUCGAUGCAACGCGAAAAACCUUACCUGGCCUUGACAUGUACGGAACUUUCCAGAGAUGGAUUGGUGCUCGAAAGAGAACCGUAACACAGGUGCUGCAUGGCUGUCGUCAGCUCGUGUCGUGAGAUGUUGGGUUAAGUCCCGCAACGAGCGCAACCCUUGCCAAUAAUUGCCAUCAUUUAGUUGGGCACUUUAUUGGGACUGCCGAUGACAAAUCGGAGGAAGGUGGGGAUGACGUCAAGUCCUCAUGGCCCUUAUGGCCAGGGCUUCACACGUAAUACAAUGGUCGGUACAGAGGGUUGCCAAGCCGCGAGGUGGAGCCAAUCCCAGAAAGCCGAUCGUAGUCCGGAUUGCAGGCUGCAACUCGCCUGCAUGAAGUCGGAAUCGCUAGUAAUCGCGGAUCAGCAUGUCGCGGUGAAUA